RNAcentral lists this ribosomal RNA (467 nucleotides) under uncultured bacterium. Its description in RNAcentral is "partial 16S ribosomal RNA". It matches the Rfam family "Bacterial small subunit ribosomal RNA", at positions 28 to 506 of the family's 1533-position model. The record is from RNAcentral.
GACGAACGCUGGCGGCGUGCUUAACACAUGCAAGUCGAACGGAAAGGCCCUGCUUUUGUGGGGUGCUCGAGUGGCGAACGGGUGAGUAACACGUGAGUAACCUGCCCUUGACUUUGGGAUAACUUCAGGAAACUGGGGCUAAUACCGGAUAGGAGCUCCUGCUGCAUGGUGGGGGUUGGAAAGUUUCGGCGGUUGGGGAUGGACUCGCGGCUUAUCAGCUUGUUGGUGGGGUAGUGGCUUACCAAGGCUUUGACGGGUAGCCGGCCUGAGAGGGUGACCGGCCACAGUGGGACUGAGAUACGGCCCAGACUCCUACGGGAGGCAGCAGUGGGGAAUAUUGCACAAUGGGCGGAAGCCGGAUGCAGCAACGCCGCGUGCGGGAGGACGGCCUUCGGGUGGUAAACCGCUUUCGCCUGUGACGAAGCGUGAGUGACGGUAAUGGGUAAAGAAGCACCGGCGAACUACGU